Molecule: long non-coding RNA, 416 nt
Organism: Neopelma chrysocephalum (saffron-crested tyrant-manakin)
Lineage: Eukaryota; Metazoa; Chordata; Aves; Passeriformes; Pipridae
Exons: 4
Source: RefSeq, a predicted model, not a curated record
ACCUGGUGAUGGAGACGGCCGCUUCCCUCCCGGGCAUCACCGGGGAGGGGGCUGCACCCCAAUUAGCCCGAGGGACCGGGACAACGUGCCACCGCGGCGGGAUGGAGGGGUUCAUUUCAGCAGAUCAAUCAAUGUUGAUGAAGUGAAAGCCCUGCCUGCAUUAACAACACAAAAAUGCACCAUAGUGGAUGUUCCUUUUGGUGUUGCCAUGGCAGAUGUGAGGAUCAAUCCAAGGUAACACUCAAAAAUUACAGUCAUGAUGGGAAGGUACAACAAGAUCUGGACAGAGACCCUGGAGCAGGUGUUCACCGUGUACCUGAGGUCAGCUGCACCUACCGACACAGCACCUGCCAGAGCUGCCCUGGUGAGGGUUACAAUCCUGCUGCACAGGGAGUGCCCAGGACACUUUGUGCUGC